RNAcentral lists this ribosomal RNA (319 nucleotides) under uncultured bacterium. RNAcentral describes it as "bacterial SSU rRNA". It matches the Rfam family "Bacterial small subunit ribosomal RNA", at positions 29 to 339 of the family's 1533-position model. The record is from RNAcentral.
AACGAACGCUGGCGGCGCGCCUAAUACAUGCAAGUCGAGCGAGAAGACGUAGCAAUACGUUUGUAAAGCGGCGAACGGGUGAGGAAUACAUGGGUAACCUACCCUCGAGUGGGGAAUAACUAGCCGAAAGGUUAGCUAAUACCGCAUACGCUUCCCGGACUGCGGUUCGGGAAAGAAAGCGAUACCGUGGAUAUCGCGCUCUUGGAUGGGCUCAUGUCCUAUCAGCUUGUUGGGAGGUAAUGGCUCACCAAGGCUUCGACGGGUAGCUGGUCUGAGAGGACGAUCAGCCACACGGGAACUGAGAAACGGUCCCGACUCC